UACGUAGGGAGCAAGCGUUGUCCGGAAUCAUUGGGCGUAAAGCGCGCGUAGGCGGCCCUGUAAGUCCGUUGUUAAAGUCAAAGGCUCAACCUUUGAAAGCCGAUGGAUACUGCAGGGCUAGAGUCCGGAAGAGGCGAGUGGAAUUCCUGGUGUAGCGGUGGAAUGCGCAGAUAUCAGGAGGAACACCGGUGGCGAAGGCGGAUCUCUGGGCCUUACCUGACGCUGAGGCGCGAAAGCUAGGGGAGCGAACAGG
Molecule: ribosomal RNA, 253 nt
Filed under: uncultured bacterium
Lineage: Bacteria
Description: partial 16S ribosomal RNA
Rfam family: Bacterial small subunit ribosomal RNA
Source: RNAcentral